CUAGGCAAGCAACGGGCAAUGGUACCAAAUGAAUGAUUCAAUGGCGCACUCUAGUAACAUCAAGGUGGUGUUGAACCAACAGGCCUACGUGCUUUUCUACCUGAGGAUCCCUGAAACAAAGAAGAAUGCAGAUGGACAGAGUACCAAGCAGGGCAUGUUGCAUCCUGGGAAGAACAGUGUGUCGUCUGAGCAGAUUAAGAGGGCCAAUCUGAACGGGCCUCUCUCCUCCCCGCAGAUCACUAAG
Molecule: long non-coding RNA, 244 nt
Organism: Notothenia coriiceps (black rockcod)
Lineage: Eukaryota; Metazoa; Chordata; Actinopteri; Perciformes; Nototheniidae
Exons: 2
Source: RefSeq, a predicted model, not a curated record